This 412-nucleotide long non-coding RNA is filed under the name Salmo salar (Atlantic salmon). Its description in RNAcentral is "lncRNA (ENSSSAG00000112884.1, ENSSSAG00020066527.1)". Lineage: Eukaryota; Metazoa; Chordata; Actinopteri; Salmoniformes; Salmonidae. The record is from RNAcentral.
CUGAAAACCUACAGAACAGUAGAUCUCCAGGAAAAGGGUUGGGCAGCCCUGCACUAUACAGAUGCAGUAGGCCUAUAACUUCCAUGUUCAACUAUAGACCUCUUCAGACCCCCAGAUGGUGACUCAACUCCCAAGACGAAAGAGGGAAACAGAGGGAGGUGGACCGAUAAAAGCAGGAAAGGGCGGAAGAAAUGAAAGGGACUGAAGUAAAGAGAGGGAGAGAGAGAUACAAUCAGUCCAUGAGUCCUUGAGAGAGAGAGAAUGUCUGAACUCCCUCUCACGGCAGGAGAUCGGCCAGUUAAAGAAUGAUUGGGAAAGAAUGGGGUGCUACAGUGGGAAGCAAAGGAGAGAGGGGUGGAACAUAACUCACACGGAAGAACAAUGGAGGAAGAGAAGAAUAUGAAAAAAACAC